Molecule: ribosomal RNA, 346 nt
Filed under: uncultured bacterium
Lineage: Bacteria
Description: partial 16S ribosomal RNA
Rfam family: Bacterial small subunit ribosomal RNA
Source: RNAcentral
CCUACGGGAGGCAGCAGUGAGGAAUAUUGGUCAAUGGACGAGAGUCUGAACCAGCCAAGUAGCGUGAAGGAUGACUGCCCUAUGGGGUGUAAACUUCUUUUAUAGGGGAAUAAAACAGGGUAUGCAUACCCUCUUGUAUGUACCAUAUGAAUAAGGAUCGGCUAACUCCGUGCCAGCAGCCGCGGUAAUACGGAGGAUCCGAGCGUUCUCCGGAUUUAUUGGGUUGAAAGGGAGCGUCGGUGGCUUGUUAAGUCAGUUGUGAAAGUUUGCGGCUCAACCGUAUAAUUGCAGUUGACACGGGCAGUCUUGAGUACCGUAGAGGUGGGCGGAAUUCGUGUUGUAGCGG